This 425-nucleotide ribosomal RNA is filed under the name uncultured bacterium. RNAcentral's name for it is "bacterial SSU rRNA". It matches the Rfam family "Bacterial small subunit ribosomal RNA", at positions 354 to 796 of the family's 1533-position model. The record is from RNAcentral.
GUGGGGAAUAUUGCACAAUGGGGGAAACCCUGAUGCAGCGACGCCGCGUGAAGGAAGAAGUAUUUCGGUAUGUAAACUUCUAUCAGCAGGGAAGAAGAUGACGGUACCUGAGUAAGAAGCACCGGCUAAAUACGUGCCAGCAGCCGCGGUAAUACGUAUGGUGCAAGCGUUAUCCGGAUUUACUGGGUGUAAAGGGAGCGUAGACGGAUAGGCAAGUCUGGAGUGAAAACCCAGGGCUCAACCCUGGGACUGCUUUGGAAACUGCAGAUCUGGAGUGCCGGAGAGGUAAGCGGAAUUCCUAGUGUAGCGGUGAAAUGCGUAGAUAUUAGGAGGAACACCAGUGGCGAAGGCGGCUUACUGGACGGUGACUGACGUUGAGGCUCGAAAGCGUGGGGAGCAAACAGGAUUAGAAACCCCAGUAGUCC